AUACGGGGGGUGCAAGCGUUAAUCGGAAUUACUGGGCGUAAAGCGCGCGUAGGCGGUUUGCUCAGUCGGAUGUGUAAGCCCAGGGCUCAACCUUGGAACUGCAUACGAUACUGGCAAACUAGAGUGUGCGAGAGGAUAGUGGAAUUUCCGGUGUAGCGGUGAAAUGCGUAGAUAUCGGAAGGAACAUCAGUGGCGAAGGCGACUGUCUGGCUCAACACUGACGCUGAGGUGCGAAAGCGUGGGUAGCAAACAGAAUUAGAUACCCUUGUAGUCC
RNAcentral lists this ribosomal RNA (274 nucleotides) under uncultured bacterium. RNAcentral describes it as "partial 16S ribosomal RNA". It matches the Rfam family "Bacterial small subunit ribosomal RNA", at positions 523 to 796 of the family's 1533-position model. The record is from RNAcentral.